Dendroctonus ponderosae (mountain pine beetle) is the source of this 889-nucleotide long non-coding RNA. RefSeq lists it as uncharacterized. The transcript has 2 exons. The record is from RefSeq and is a predicted model, not a curated record. Lineage: Eukaryota; Metazoa; Arthropoda; Insecta; Coleoptera; Curculionidae.
UCAGUAAUGAAGAAAUUUCUGCUGCAAAUGGAAGAUGGCCAAUACUGUGGGUUACAGCAACUUCAUCAUUUAUAGUCUAGAAUCAAUUAAUUUGUAUUCACACAAUGUUCACCAAUUCCCGCUAAUAAUAUUGAAUGGCAUGGAAUAAACUAUGGGAGAAAAUUGCGCACGCUUGUGCUAUCUUAUAUUGCAUAACCAUCUAUUCAAAGAAGCCGCUAAUAAAAUAAGAGCAGUCAGUGUCUUUACUCGACAAGACAAUGGAAAAAAAUGAAGAUUUCUACGAAUGGAAGGGACAAAUAAUAGAUGCAUAAUUCUUCAGCUAUUCCUUCCUACUCGGUAAUUCAAUAACGUUGAAAAGCCUUCGUAGCGAAAUGUUCAACCACAAAAUGAAAUUACAGGAAGUCUAAAAAGAGUGAACAGCAUACAUCAGUAUUCCCUCGGAUGUUUUUUGAGUUAUGUGUUAAAUCACUUCUUAUGAUUGUUAUUUACCAAAACUUAUGUUUGGGUUAGUCAGUGAACUUGAAGAAGAAAGGUGCUUCGUCUGCGCUUCAUAGCUUAAAACUGCGUUAAUUCACACAUGGACCUCUUCAAAUGAGUUUGAUGAGUAACUUACCACUGAUGCAUUAUAGCAAACGGAACCAAACCUAAUCCAGACUUUUUUAUCAUUCCAUGAGGAGGGAACGAAAAACGUCCGUUUAUACCAUACAGCCCCCACAUGAUCUCUGACGCUCAGUUUAGUGGAAAUGUCGUUGUAGCUGGAUGGUACUGGCAUUAAAUUCAGAUCUACAUCAGUGGCCUGAAUAUGUAAAAAAAUAUUUAAAGCCUGUGAAAUUGAGUAUCUAAGGCUUACUUCUUCGAUUGUAGACACUAAACUUGCAUUCAUAGUAAA